AUUAAUAACCCGAGGUCGAGAACCUCAAUUAAUUAAU
This 37-nucleotide non-coding RNA is filed under the name unclassified sequences. The record is from Rfam.